CGCUCGACACCUACGGGAUGCAGCAGUGGGGAAUAUUGCACAAUGGGGGAAACCCUGAUGCAGCGACGCCGCGUGAGCGAAGAAGUAUUUCGGUAUGUAAAGCUCUAUCAGCAGGGAAGAAAUUGACGGUACCUGACUAAGAAGCACCGGCUAAAUACGUGUCAGCAGCCGCGGUAAUCUGAGCGGGCUGGCAAGGC
Molecule: ribosomal RNA, 197 nt
Filed under: uncultured bacterium
Lineage: Bacteria
Description: partial 16S ribosomal RNA
Rfam family: Bacterial small subunit ribosomal RNA
Source: RNAcentral